Bubalus bubalis (water buffalo) is the source of this 1537-nucleotide long non-coding RNA. RefSeq lists it as uncharacterized. The transcript has 2 exons. NCBI's taxonomy places the organism in Eukaryota, Metazoa, Chordata, Mammalia, Artiodactyla, Bovidae. The record is from RefSeq and is a predicted model, not a curated record.
CAGCCCGCGGGGCGCUUCCGCUCCGGUCUAGCGCACAGAUGGUUCCGGGAAAGUGCCGCGCCUUACGCGAAAGUGGACCGCGGGGCGCUUCCGCUCGCGCCCGGCGCCCUGGUGGUUCCGGGAAGGUGCCGCGCCUUACGCGCUUUUGGACUUCCGCGCUGUCUGCAGAAGCUAUCGUCGCUGGGGACCUCGAGUCUGACCCGGUAAAGGACGACCUUUCCGUGUGCUUCUUUGCCUUUGCACCUGCGGCACGACAUUGGAAAGGCAGAAGUAAUCGUAACUGGGCGGAUUCUGUCAUUCAUUCAACGUUUCUUCACCGGCAAGUUGGAAACAGACACUGGGCUUGAAGCUGGAGGCCCGUAUGGGACCUAAUAGGCAAAACUGCCUUUUCUAUUGUAGGGGAUGUGACAUGUGUUAUUGAAGGCCGACGUCGGUUGGUGGCCACUGUGCGCCUUGAGCUAUCAAGUCAUCCAGUCCUUAACACAACCCUGAAUAGUGUUGUCCACAUCCUACACAUGGGGACAUCCUAGCUUCGCAGGUGGCUAAGACGGUAAAUAAUCUUCUUGCAAUGCAAGAGACACAGGUUUGAUCCCUGGGCUGGGAAGAUCCCCUGGAUAAGGGAAAGACUACCCACUCCAGUCUUCUUGCCAGGAGAAUUACGUGGACAGAGGAGCCUGGCGGGCUACAGACCAUGGGGUCGCAAGGAGUCGGACACGACUGAGCGACUAACACGCAAACACACACGUCCUACAGAAGAGGGCCAUGUGGCCUGGAGGAGUGAGAGGACUUGGCCCCACUGCUCCAUCCAGGAGCUGAGAUUCAGUCCCAGAGUAAGGCCUCCCUCCCGUAAGGGCGAGAAGGACUGGGGUCCAGGAACGAAGGGCCCUGGGCCGGGUCGCUUUAAGGAGAAGCUGUAUCACAAUCACUUUUAAUGCAAGAAGAAUAGGGAAAGAAGACAUUUUCCCGGAGCCCAGAGCUUCCAAUCCAGGCCCGUGGACUUUGAACCCUGGGUGAAGGAGUCUGAAUGUUAUGGUGUGGUGUGGCAUACUAGCAAUUUCUAACAUGGAACCUAAGGAAUCAGAACAAAUAUGGCCCGGGCCUGUGGUGGGACGAAUGCUAGGAAAGGCACUGGGCAGGAAUCUGUGCGUUAUCGGGCCAGUUCCUAGCCCAUGCCCUGCAGAAACAUGACCCCCGACCCCAGGCUCACCUAGCCCCGUUCUUGGCACAGAAGAAAAUGUUUUUGGAAUUAAACUGAAUGGUGAUGGCAAUGCAGAUGUUGAGUAAAUGAACUAAUUACAGCUUAAACUGCAUGACUCUUACAAAUAACUAGGAGGACAUUAAAUGUCUCCCUAUCCCCGCCAGAAAAGAUUCCUCCACUGCAAGGAUUCAGAAAGAAAAAACAAAAAACAGAACACAGGCUCACCACCAAGAGAUCAUCUACGUAAUGGGUUGAAGGGUCACAGCAACGUCUAUAUUUAAUAUAAUGUAUGCCACAUGUGUACUUUUAAAUGUUAUAGUAACCACAUUUAAAAAUAAA